RNAcentral lists this ribosomal RNA (513 nucleotides) under uncultured bacterium. Its description in RNAcentral is "partial 16S ribosomal RNA". It matches the Rfam family "Bacterial small subunit ribosomal RNA", at positions 28 to 523 of the family's 1533-position model. The record is from RNAcentral.
GAUGAACGCUGGCGGCGUGCCUAAUACAUGCAAGUCGAGCGAAUGGAUUAAGAGCUUGCUCUUAUGAAGUUAGCGGCGGACGGGUGAGUAACACGUGGGUAACCUGCCCAUAAGACUGGGAUAACUCCGGGAAACCGGGGCUAAUACCGAAUAACAUUUUGAACCGCAUGGUUCGAAAUUGAAAGGCGGCUUCGGCUGUCACUUAUGGAUGGACCCGCGUCGCAUUAGCUAGUUGGUGAGGUAACGGCUCACCAAGGCAACGAUGCGUAGCCGAGCUGAGAGGGUGAUCGGCCACUGGGACUGGGACACGGCCCAGACUCCUACGGGAGGCAGCAGUAGGGAAUCUUCCGCAAUGGACGAAAGUCUGACGGAGCAACGCCGCGUGAGUGAUGAAGGCUUUCGGGUCGUAAAACUCUGUUGUUAGGGAAGAACAAGUGCUAGUUGAAUAAGCUGGCACCUUGACGGUACCUAACCAGAAAGCCACGGCUAACUACGUGCCAGCAGCCGCAGUAA